UUACGGUCAUAUCACGUUGAAACACCGGUUCUUGUAAGAUCACCGAAGUUAAGCAACGUCGAGCCUGGUCAGUAUCUAGAUCGGUGACUGUUUCGGAAUACCAGGUAAUGUA
This is a non-coding RNA of Acanthosepion pharaonis, 112 nucleotides long. NCBI's taxonomy places the organism in Eukaryota, Metazoa, Mollusca, Cephalopoda, Sepiida, Sepiidae. The record is from the annotation of a GenBank genome assembly.